Molecule: ribosomal RNA, 499 nt
Filed under: uncultured bacterium
Lineage: Bacteria
Description: bacterial SSU rRNA
Rfam family: Bacterial small subunit ribosomal RNA
Source: RNAcentral
GAUGAACGCUAGCGGCAGGCCUAAUACAUGCAAGUCGAGGGGCAGCGCGGUAGCAAUACUGGCGGCGACCGGCGCACGGGUGCGUAACACGUAUGCAACCUACCUUCAACUGGAGGAUAGCCCGGGGAAACUCGGAUUAAUACUCCAUAACACAGGGAUCCCGCAUGGGAAUAUUGUUAAAGCUACGGCGGUUGAAGAUGGGCAUGCGUUCGAUUAGCUAGUUGGUGUAGGUAACGGCUCACCAAGGCUACGAUCGAUAGGGGGUCUGAGAGGAUGAUCCCCCACACUGGUACUGAGAUACGGACCAGACUCCUACGGGAGGCAGCAGUAGGGAAUAUUGGUCAAUGGGGCGCAAGCCUGAACCAGCCAUGCCGCGUGCAGGAAGAAGGCCCUCUGGGUUGUAAACUGCUUUUGAUAGGGAACAAAUGCCACUUGCGAGUGGAGCUGAGUGUACCUAUAGAAUAAGCACCGGCUAACUCCGUGCCAGCAGCCGCGGUAA